Molecule: ribosomal RNA, 702 nt
Filed under: uncultured bacterium
Lineage: Bacteria
Description: bacterial SSU rRNA
Rfam family: Bacterial small subunit ribosomal RNA
Source: RNAcentral
AAUAUAGAGAUGAAAUGGUAGAUAUUAAGAAGAGGACCAGUGGGAAGAGAGUGGGAGGACAAGUAAUGAGGUUGAAGUAAAGAAGAAGGGGAGCGAACAGGAUUAGAUAGCGUGGUAGUCCGCGCGGUAGGGGGAUGAUGACUAGCUGUCGCGGCGGUAGCGUUUGAGGGACGCAGGGAACGGGAUAAGUCAUCCGGCUGGGGAGGGCAGCCGCAAGGUUAAAACUCAAAGAAAUGGACGGGGGCCUGCACAAGCGGUGGAGCAUGUGGUUUAAUUGGAAUCAACGCGCAGAACCUUACCAGCGUUUGACAUUGUAGGACGGUUUCCAGAGAUGGAUUCCUUCCCUUACGGGACCUACACACAGGUGCUGCAUGGCUGUCGUCAGCUCGUGUCGUGAGAUGUUGGGUUAAGUCCCGCAACGAGCGCAACCCUCGUCUUUAGUUGCCAUCAUUUAGUUGGGCACUCUAAAGAAACUGCCGGUGAUAAGCCGGAGGAAGGUGGGGAUGACGUCAAGUCCUCAUGGCCCUUACGCGCUGGGCUACACACGUGCUACAAUGGCGGUGACAGUGGGCAGCAAACUCGCGAGAGUGAGCAAAUCCCCAAAAACCGUCUCAGUUCGGAUUGUUCUCUACAACUCGAGAGCAGGAAGGCGGAAUCGCUAGUAAUCGCGGAUCGGCAUGCCGCGGUGAAUACGUUCCCGGG